GUUCUCUCAUACGGUCUCUCGUACACAUUUUUUUUUUUUACACAGUAACUUGGCCUGUUACCACAACCUUGGUAGUUAAUAUUGAUUAUGUGAGUACUGUCAACUGAGCUGUUGCUUCCACAGAGCAAUCUUCAUCCAGUUGGACAACUGAUGAGGUCACCAACCAGGAUCUUCAGGGUCUGAGAGGAUAAAUUCAGCUACUGUGCUGCUGGAGCCGACUUAACCGGAUUCCCCUUUAAAACAGGAACCUUAUGCUGAACGUCUCAGGAGAUCCAUGCAUUAAAACUCUGAGCAGAUGAGUGUUCAAGAGCAGCUUCUCGCCUAUAAAAACAAGCAUGUCUAUGCCAAAUUUAGUUCAGAGUUUGCUGCACAGAGUUUGCUGCACUUGGAUUUAACGGGACGUUGAAGCAAUGCAGAGAAAAGUAAAAAAAUCUGAAACCGGAAUAAAGAAACCUCAAGGAUGACGACAAGAUGAGUGGUUCCAUCUAUCUUGAAGAAAGCGGUUUUGUCGUCAUCGUUAGUCCUCACUAACCUAUCAAAAACUCAGGCUUAUUCCUUUCCAGGAGCAGAAGACUGUUCCCGGUUUAAAGCUGUCCUUGCUGUGUCUCCUUGCUCCACCAUUACGCCUGAUGUCAGCAUUCAGGUGGCAAGUGGCUCGGCAGCAUAUUCUAAAGCAUUAUGGGAAACUGGAGGAGUUUGGGACUUUGGUGACAGAGGUGGUUCCAGAGCUGCUGAGUUCCAGGCAGAGGACCCAACUCCUCCUGGGUCUGAGAGCAAGGGUUUGUGAGGUGGAAAUGCAAAGGAUUCUGAUAAAGUAUGGGCAGCUACAACUAACAAUAAGUAUGUUUUCCCCUGGGGCUGCCUCUAACAUGUCUACCUCUUUUUUCAGCUGGUUCUGGAGUUGUGACUCAGGGAGAGCACCGGUGACCUUGUCCAUCCAGCCUCACCUGGACAAAAUCCAUUUGU
Non-coding RNA from Oncorhynchus mykiss (rainbow trout), 966 nucleotides. The record is from RefSeq and is a predicted model, not a curated record. Lineage: Eukaryota; Metazoa; Chordata; Actinopteri; Salmoniformes; Salmonidae.